Molecule: ribosomal RNA, 110 nt
Filed under: Pteropus alecto (black flying fox)
Lineage: Eukaryota; Metazoa; Chordata; Mammalia; Chiroptera; Pteropodidae
Source: RNAcentral
GUCUAUAUUAGAAUCACAAAUUUAGAGAAGCAAGCUUGGAAGCUAAGCAGGGUUGGGCCUGGUUAGUACUUGGAUGGGAGACCACCUAGGAAGACCAGGUGCUAUAGGCA